RNAcentral lists this ribosomal RNA (468 nucleotides) under uncultured bacterium. RNAcentral's name for it is "partial 16S ribosomal RNA". It matches the Rfam family "Bacterial small subunit ribosomal RNA", at positions 28 to 507 of the family's 1533-position model. The record is from RNAcentral.
GACGAACGCUGGCGGCGUGCUUAACACAUGCAAGUCGAACGGAAAGGCCCUGCUUUUGUGGGGUGCUCGAGUGGCGAACGGGUGAGUAACACGUGAGUAACCUGCCCUUGACUUUGGGAUAACUUCAGGAAACUGGGGCUAAUACCGGAUAGGAGCUCCUGCUGCAUGGUGGGGGUUGGAAAGUUUCGGCGGUUGGGGAUGGACUCGCGGCUUAUCAGCUUGUUGGUGGGGUAGUGGCCUACCAAGGCCUUGACGGGUAGCCGGCCUGAGAGGGUGACCGGACACAUUAGGACUGAGAUACGGCCCAGAGUCCUACAGGGGACAACAGUGGGGAAUAUUGCACAGUGAGCGGAAGCCUGAUGCAGAAACGCCGCGUGCGGAAUGACGGCCUUCGGGUUGUAAACCGCUUUCGCCUGUGACGAAGCGUGAGUGACGGUAAUGGGUAAAGAAGCACCGGCUAACUACGUG